UACGGAGGAGGCAAGCGUUAUCCGGAAUUAUUGGGCGUAAAGCGCGUGUAGGCGGCGUGACAAGUCGGGUGUGAAAGCCCUCAGCUCAACUGAGGAAGUGCGCCCGAAACUGUCGUGCUUGAGUGCCGGAGAGGGUGGCGGAAUUCCCCAAGUAGAGGUGAAAUUCGUAGAUAUGGGGAGGAACACCGGUGGCGAAGGCGGCCACCUGGACGGCUACUGACGCUGAGACGCGAAAGCGUGGGGAGCAAACAGG
RNAcentral lists this ribosomal RNA (253 nucleotides) under uncultured bacterium. RNAcentral describes it as "partial 16S ribosomal RNA". It matches the Rfam family "Bacterial small subunit ribosomal RNA", at positions 524 to 776 of the family's 1533-position model. The record is from RNAcentral.